UGGUACUGGACCUUUCUGGAAGUACAUCAUUAUGAACAAGGGAUAGGGGUUGGUGCAUCCUCCUGUUGUUCUGUUUUAUCAGAUAGGCCUUUUUCAGCAUUCUAGUGGCCGUGGUCUUGCGUGGUGAGCGACUAUGCAUAUUGCUACAUGGUGUAAUUGCACAUCCAGAGGUUUCCAGUAACUUGAUUGGAGACUAACGUACAUCAGUGAUGUGACUGCACUGUUGCUUUGUUUUUAGUGUUUGUUGGGUGAUUGUUUUAACUUUGUCUUUCUUGGUCUUAUUUUGGUUAAUUUUGUUUGUAUGGGUUCCAUUUUUAGUUUUUUUUAUUUUAUUUAGUUUUUUAUUCAUGAGCAGCCAUUCAUUAACGUGUGUUUGAAUUAGCUGGGAGGCAAGUAAGAUUUGGCCUUGGUCGGCCACUUGUUCCUCUUGUUGUUGCAUAUGACUGCUGAUUUUUAUUUUUUACAAGUAGUUAAAUCUGUGUGUGUGUGUGGGUGGGUGGUUGGGCUCCUUUUGGAGUAGAUUGUUCUGUUGUGGUAUGAAAGUGAGAAUUUUCUAUUUUUGAAUGUGUUAAUUGUUUUGAAGUUUGUACCAGUUGACAUUUUGUCAUUUAGGAGUAGAAACUUUUAAAGCAGGGAUUGCAGUCUUUUAGCGUGUCCACAUGGUGUGCGGUGCUUAACCAAUUGUGUUGCUUUCUCAACUGUGUGGUGUGGGUAUGGUGUGAGGUGAGAUUUCCAAAAGGCCCCCGCUGGCCAUUUCUUUCCUACUGGUUAUUUCUGUAAUUGGUAGAUUUGUGUAUUUGGUUUGUGAUUUAAGAUCUUGUGUACAAAAACAAAUGUGUUAAAUUGAAUUUCUCAUUUUUGUGUAUAUAAAUAAACUGCUUAAUUUUUAUACCUUGUUCAUAUCACCAUGCUCACCUUGCCUUUGGCAACGAACCUGUGUGCCCUUGCAUAGGGCUGUUGUGUCCCAGUAUAUUCCGGGUGGCGUAGUCGACUAUAGGAUUUGUGUUAGUUGUUAUUGGUAACUUCCCCUACCUGACCACUUUGCCACACAAACCUUUGACGCUCUCCAGAACACAAAUACAUACUGGAGCGUUUGACAAAUACAUUUGCCAAUAUAAGAUGGGCCUGAUUCCUCGGGGCCGUAAGCGUGGCUUAAUUCACUUAUCGGUUAAGUCCGCCCCUGCAUAUAUGGAGUACACUAUUGUAAGACAAUGUUGUAUUAAUGCAAUAGCUUGAUAAAGGUCUGUGCUGUCUUUUAUGGUCAAUUCAAUGUGUUCUUGCUGAAUAAAAGGUAUGGUUUCUCUCAAUAAAAAAAAAAAAAUGCUGACCCAAACUUUU
Cyprinus carpio (common carp) is the source of this 1338-nucleotide long non-coding RNA. RefSeq lists it as uncharacterized. Lineage: Eukaryota; Metazoa; Chordata; Actinopteri; Cypriniformes; Cyprinidae. The transcript has 3 exons. The record is from RefSeq and is a predicted model, not a curated record.